This is a long non-coding RNA of Acanthopagrus latus (yellowfin seabream), 1871 nucleotides long. RefSeq lists it as uncharacterized. The record is from RefSeq and is a predicted model, not a curated record. The transcript has 2 exons. Lineage: Eukaryota; Metazoa; Chordata; Actinopteri; Spariformes; Sparidae.
CUUCACCCCGGCAACAUCAACUCUACCUGCCAGCCAGGGGCAAGUCGAGGCAUGACCUGAGAUAUGGGCACACUCACACACACACACACUCACACACACACACUAGCGUAACUGUGGAGACAGUUGUGUUACUCCAGCAGUGGUCACUUCUCAACAGAACAGUGAGAUCUGCAGCGACUGCAGCCGUGGAGAGAACAAGAGGAGCCGAACUGAGAAUUCAUUCUGAAAAUCACUGGCUGGAGAAGAGCUGCUUCACUCUUUGGUAAACUUUAUUAUUUCAGACUAACAUUGUGUGUUAAUAUUUUUUAAAUCUUGUAUUUACUCAUUACAUAACUUGUUAAAAAGUCAGUGUCAUGAAAAACAGACAAACUGAAGCCUGGAUAAGAAAUAUUCUUUCUCAAUAAAUACAUUCUUUAACAAACACCAGGUGCCCUUUGAGGGUUUGUUGAGGUAAGUUUGUUUUUUUUUAAUUUUUACUUUUCUUUCAGUCAUACCAUUACUAUUUAUAUACAACUAUUUUCUGUUUUAUAAGUUUAGUACCACUAAACAUUUGUGUUUGUUCUCAUAGCAAACCUUAAAUCAAAUAAAAAGUCACAAAAUCCUCAGAAAAAGUUUUCUGGUCUGGUCACUUCCUGGAGUCUCAGCUGGUUGCCUGGCAACAGCUCAUAUCCAGGAAGUAGUCUGGUACACAAAACCACAAAUUGUCUCUGCACUUCGGCUUUAGUACGAAUGAAUCCAACAAGAUGGAACAUAUUCUUCACUGGGCUUUAAAAGAUGUUUAUUUUUGACAGAGCCAGGCUAGCUGUUUCCCUCUGUUUCCAGUCUUUGUGCUAAGCUAAGCUAACUGACUUUUUGUUAUUCGUGUUAAAUCUGUUUCAGUGUGAAUCCACAGCAGUGCUCCUGACUCCUGGUUGGGGUUGUUGUGUAGGCAGUGUUGUUAGCUGAUUGUUCUGACACACCAAUCACUAACUACACUACCAGUACAACCACCGCCACACACAGCUGCUCAGCCAGAGCAGCUUCCACACCGAGCUCAGCAUACAGCGUUCAUGCAGGACUGAAGUGGAUUAUUCAACAAGAAGAAAUAAACAAGAAGCUCCUCUUCGACAUUUACGUUGAGAUAUAAUGAAAUAAAAGGGUCCACAGUGUCCCAUCAACAGCUCCACUAGACUCUAAUGUCCGUACAUUAGAGAACACUGACUGGCUGCAGGACUUUAUGUUGCAGCACCAGAGUCGACCACUGGAACAACGACCAGCGAUGACCCACAUACAAGUACCACUACAUUUAUUUGAUCUUUGCAGAUUCAGAUUAUUCAGAGUUAACAGACUUAAUUGUGACGUGUUAUCAGAUACUGUUGUGGGCAGAACGUGUGAGAGGAUUUGGCAUCAGAGCCAAAGAAGACAUUUUAAAAAAAAAAACAAAAACAAAAAAACCCCAAAAACUUUAAAACGGGGAAUCUGACCGAAGUAUCACCGGUACAAUAAUCGGAAAAUGCUGAAAAUCAGCCCCGAUAAUCCGUCUGGCUCUCAGUCAGAUGUCACCACGUUUCACUUGAGUGACGCUGAUGAAAACAUUUGUUCGUAUUCGUCCCUAAAGAGCCUCCUGCUGUUAAAAUGAAAGAAGAAACGCCUCAGAACGAGCAGCAACACUUUUCAAUGACUGUUCAAUGUUACUUUAUUCACACUUACUUUAAUCUUAUAGUUUAAAAAACACAUUUAGAAGGAGGAAAUACUUAAAAUACUUGAAUAUUUCAAAGAUUAAAAACAUGCUCAAACAGCAUUACUUUAAAUCAUUGACACUUUAAACCAUGUAACAAUUAUAAACUCUUAACCUAAGAUGCACGAACUGUCCUGAAACUCUUUUUUUCCCC